UGUGUCGAUGAGUCUGCGAACCAGACUUGUAUUAGGCAAGCUGCGGAGGGACGCAGGAAGGUAGCUCAACCCGGGCGAUGGUAUCCGCAAGGUGAUCCCGGGCUAAGCGUGUAGGGCGAGGUGUAGGUGAAUCCGCACCUCAUGAUGCCUGAGACGUGACGGCUGGUCGGUCUACGGACCGGCGAGUGAGUGAUCCUAUGCUGCCUAGAAAAUCUUCGUGAGCGAGUUCUAGAGCCGCCCGUACCCUAAACCGACACAGGUGGUCAGGUAGAGAAUACCAAGGUGAUCGAGAUAACCGUGGUUAAGGAACUCGGCAAAAUGCCCCCGUAACUUCGGGAUAAGGGGGGCCGGACGCGUAUUGCAGACUUGCUCUGCCGUGCGUGAAAGGCCGCAGAGACCAGGCCCAAGCGACUGUUUACUAAAAACACAGGUCCGUGCCAAGUCGUAAGACGAUGUAUACGGACUGACGCCUCCCCGGUGCUGGAACGUUAAGGGGAACCGUUAGCCGCAAGGCGAAGCGGUGAACUUAAGCGCCAGUAAACGGCGGUGGUAACUAUAACCAUCCUAAGGUAGCGAAAUUCCUUGUCGGGUAAGUUCCGACCUGCACGAAUGGCGUAACGACUUGGGCGCUGUCUCGACCACGGACUCGGCGAAAUUGCACUACGAGUAAAGAUGCUCGUUACGCGCAGCAGGACGGAAAGACCCCGGGACCUUCACUAUAGUUUGGUAUUGGUGUUCGGUACAGCUUGUGUAGGAUAGGUGGGAGACUGUGAAGCGGCGACGCCAGUCGUCGUGGAGUCAACGUUGAAAUACCACUCUGGUUGUUCUGGAUAUCUAACCUAGGUCCAUUAUCUGGAUCAGGAACAGUGCCUGAUGGGUAGUUUGACUGGGGCGGUCGCCUCCCAAAAGGUAACGGAGGCGCCCAAAGGUUCCCUCAGCCUGGUUGGCAAUCAGGUUUCGAGUGUAAGUGCACAAGGGAGCUUGACUGUGAGAGGGACACCUCGAGCAGGGACGAAAGUCGGGACUAGUGAUCUGACGGUGGCAUGUGGAAGCGCCGUCACUCAACGGAUAAAAGGUACCCCGGGGAUAACAGGCUGAUCUUGCCCGAGCGUCCAUAGCGACGGCAUGGUUUGGCACCUCGAUGUCGGCUCGUCGCAUCCUGGGGCUGGAGUCGGUCCCAAGGGUUGGGCUGUUCGCCCAUUAAAGCGGCACGCGAGCUGGGUUUAGAACGUCGUGAGACAGUUCGGUCCCUAUCCGCUGCGCGCGUAGGAGUCUUGAGGAGGGCUGUCCUUAGUACGAGAGGACCGGGACGGACGAACCUCUGGUGUGCCAGUUGUCCUGCCAAGGGCACGGCUGGUUGGCUACGUUCGGAAGUGAUAACCGCUGAAAGCAUCUAAGCGGGAAGCACGCUCCAAGAUGAAGGCUCCCACAGGAUAGCCUGGUAAGGCCCCCAGCAGAACACUGGGUGAUAGGUCGGAUGUGGAAGCACAGCAAUGUGUGGAGCUGACCGAUACUAAUAGGCCGAGGGCUUGUUCU
RNAcentral lists this ribosomal RNA (1536 nucleotides) under metagenome. Its description in RNAcentral is "bacterial LSU rRNA". It matches the Rfam family "Bacterial large subunit ribosomal RNA", at positions 1411 to 2925 of the family's 2925-position model. The record is from RNAcentral.